This 1334-nucleotide long non-coding RNA is filed under the name Coturnix japonica (Japanese quail). RNAcentral describes it as "lncRNA (ENSCJPG00005008066.1)". The record is from RNAcentral. Lineage: Eukaryota; Metazoa; Chordata; Aves; Galliformes; Phasianidae.
GUUGUCAGAAAGUCAGCCACAUUCACUGCCAGGGUUGGAUUUUUGAACUGGUGACACAGGAUCUGCAAUUUAUUAUCAGUCUUCUGCACUCUGUUAGAUAUUGCACAGCAAUUGUAUUUUAUAACUAGGUAAAAAAAAAAGGGGGGGGGGGGGGGGGGGGGGGAGUAAUUUAAUAAGCACUUGGAAAUUGCCAAAUUACUUAACUGCUCUGUCCAGCACAGCAGUCUGGAGUGGAAAGGCCAGCACCUCACCCUUGGAAGGAAGAGGCAGAAAUAAAUCUGCAAUGGGCAAUUAGGAAACAGCCAGCCAGCUGGAAAGCUUCUGAUUAACCCAUUACUAAACACGUGGCUGAUGCUGCAAGAAGAGUCUUUUUAUUUUCCCUAAUUCAUAUGAAAUAGCUUUUUAUACCAUAUUAUUGUGAACAUUCUCCUUAUUCAUGUAUAUUUGAAUCACAUUAAAUUGUUGACAUCAAUGAUAUCUUCUGGCAAUGCUUUGUGUUGCGUAAUUAAUGCUGGGAAACUCAGGAUUCCUAUCAUUUAAUGAGAGUCAUUAUGUAUUAAUGAUUAGGCAGAUAUUAAUUACAUUUAGCAGCAAACAUUUUUCUCAGAAUCUAGUUGUUUAUGCACGGUGCUAAAUGCAUUGUGGGUGAAAGUGUGUGGCAGCUCUCCUUGCACUCUGUUAAGACUCAACGCUAAUGCUUCCUGCCUUGUAAAUCUGCCCAGUUAGCUGUGUACCUGGGGAAAAGAUCCUUGGCAAUUUUCGGCAUACUUUUUUGGAGGUCAGCGGAUCUUUACUUCCAGAAAUAGUGGUUCAUAGAGCAAAAGGAAAACUGACUUUCUUUUGGUUGCUGUGGUCAGGCUCUCUGUAACAGCUAUGGCUGAGUUUGAAACUGACCCUUCAGAAGUCUGAGCAUGGCUUCAUCUCGCUACUGCAACCAAUGGACUCAUCAGGAAUUACAAAGCUUUACAGCCCAGUUCAGAGAGCUUUGACUGUAGUCUUGUUGUUCAUGGACCAUGUACACCUGGCUGAGGAGAGAAAACCUGAAGUACUGACCCAACAGCAGAAUGGGGGGAGAGGAAAAUUCACAUAGAGGUGAUCUGCAGAUGAGCUUUUUCUAUGAACAGCAACAGUAAAAAAUUAAUUUACUAUGACAGUAAAUUAAUGUCAGGUAAAGCAAAUAUUUUUCUUUGCCUCAGCAGAUAACAUUUCUUUAUUUCCCUUUAGCCAUAUAAGAACAUAAAACUUUGAUACACCCUUAAAACAAAGCACUCAUUUGAAGUCAAAGUUCAUUUAGAGAAUGUUGAAAUUAAACAUUUACCAUUCAAGAAUUAAUU